This 460-nucleotide ribosomal RNA is filed under the name uncultured bacterium. RNAcentral describes it as "partial 16S ribosomal RNA". It matches the Rfam family "Bacterial small subunit ribosomal RNA", at positions 338 to 795 of the family's 1533-position model. The record is from RNAcentral.
CCUACGGGUGGCUGCAGUGAGGAAUAUUGGACAAUGGGCGCGAGCCUGAACCAGCCAAGCAGCGUGAAGGAUGACUGCCCUACGGGUUGUAAACUCCUUUUAUAAAGGAAUAAAGUGCGGCACGUGUGCCUUUUUGUAUGUACUUUAUGAAUAAGGAUCGGCUAACUCCGUGCCAGCAGCCGCGGUAAUACGGAGGAUCCGAGCGUUAUCCGGAUUUAUUGGGUUUAAAGGGAGCGUAGAUGGGUGGUUAAGUCAGAUGUGAAAGUUUGGGGCUCAACCGUAAAAUUGCAAUUGAUACUGGCAGUCUUGAGUACAGUUGAGGUAGGCGGAAUUCGUGGUGUAGCGGUGAAAUGCUUAGAUAUCACGAAGAACACCGAUGGCGAAGGCAGCUUACUAAACUGCGACUGACAUUGAGGCGCGAAAGUGUGGGGAGCAAACAGGAUUAGAUACCCCUGUAGUC